CAAUGUGCACAAAUGAUCUGGAUGAGCCUGGAACAUCUCCCGAGGGAGGCGCCCAGGAGGCAUCCUUACCAGAUGCCCAAAGCACCUCAGCUGGCUCCUUUCAACACAAAGGA
Molecule: long non-coding RNA, 113 nt
Organism: Thalassophryne amazonica
Lineage: Eukaryota; Metazoa; Chordata; Actinopteri; Batrachoidiformes; Batrachoididae
Exons: 3
Source: RefSeq, a predicted model, not a curated record